CAGCAGCCACGGUAAUACGGAGGGAGUUAGCGUUGUUCGGAAUUACUGGGCGUAAAGCGCGCGUAGGCGGUUACUCAAGUCAGAGGUGAAAGCCCGGGGCUCAACCCCGGAACUGCCUUUGAAACUAGGUGACUAGAAUCUUGGAGAGGUCAGUGGAAUUCCGAGUGUAGAGGUGAAAUUCGUAGAUAUUCGGAAGAACACCAGUGGCGAAGGCGACUGACUGGACAAGUAUUGACGCUGAGGUGCGAAAGCGUGGGGAGCAAACAGGAUUAGAUACCCCUGUAGUCCCUGUCUCUUAUAC
RNAcentral lists this ribosomal RNA (301 nucleotides) under uncultured bacterium. RNAcentral describes it as "partial 16S ribosomal RNA". It matches the Rfam family "Bacterial small subunit ribosomal RNA", at positions 509 to 807 of the family's 1533-position model. The record is from RNAcentral.